GACCGCUGGGUCAGAUAUUGGACAGAUCUGUCACAGCCAUUUACAAUCACUUUAACUUAAAACACAACAACAACAACAACAACAACGGUUGUCUGUUUUAGUGUCUUUACAAUGAUAAUAUAUUCAAAAGUUGUCUUCACACACACACACGCACGCACGCUCGCAACCCCCACCCCCUCCACCCCCAUAUCUUUCUACAGGACUGCCAGCCCGUCCAGAGUUAUUCCAGGAAUGCGUUGAACAUGGCUGCCGCGAUGAAGGAGCAGAAGACGGGACUGCUGGAACUUCGUGUGGCCGUGGACCGUUGGAUCCGUGUGUUGGCCACUCUGACCGACGACGCGCUCACGGUUAAUCCCGGCGAGGGUGCCGCGGAGCCGGCGAAACCCAACCCGACCCCAGUCGGUGCUCUGAACGGAGACCCUCCGAACCUGAGCGUGUCCCCAGUCCCGGAAACCAUCACCAACGUGAAGCGCACGGUGAGAGUGACCAAGCAAGAUGUUGGAGGACUCGGAAUCAGUAUUAAAGGUGGGAGAGAGAACAAGAUGCCGAUCCUCAUCUCCAAGAUUUUUAAGGGUCUGGCAGCUGACCAGACCGAAGCUCUAUACGUCGGCGACGCCAUUCUGUCUGUCAAUGGUUUUGACUUACGGGAGGCCACACACGAUGAGGCGGUGCAAGCGCUGAAGAAAACUGGCAAAGAGGUCAUUCUUGAAGUGAAGUACAUCAAGGAGAUGUCGGCCUUCUUUAAAAGUUCUGGGACUCCCGGCGCUGGCCUGCCAUGGGACUCUCCCCCGGCCACUCCACAGAAGGGCACUGAGCCGCUGUCAGCUGAGGUGAAGGAGCCUCGCAUCAUCCCCCUGAAGAUGUGCCAGGUGUCACGAAAACAGUGCCCCCCGGACACAGAAAACAGGUAUUUCGAGGUCAUUUCUGCCAACAGGAAGAACUCUGUGUUUCUGCGGGCAAAAGACCCAGCAAUGGCUCAGUCCUGGUACAAUGGGAUUCAGGCCGGCGCUGCCAACCUGUUACCAAGAGUGAAGGAGGAGAUGAGGCACAUGCAGCCAGGAAUGGAAGUGAAACAUCUGGGCUGGGUUUCAGAACAGGUCUCUCAGGGUCCAGAGAGACCGGUUCUAGCUGUGUUGACUGACAAAGACCUGCUCCUGUAUCCAUCGUUGCCUGAAAGCAGAGAGAGUCUCAGCAACCCGACGAAGAGCCACGCGCUCAUCGCUACAAGACUGGUCCACUCGGGCCCGGGAAAAAGUUCCCCUCUGCUCGACUGUGAGCUGUCGUUUGGCCUGCGUUCAGGCACCAAGCAGGGCGUGGAGACCCAUGUGUUCAGGGUGGAUUCUUCCAAGGACUUGUCCACCUGGACUCAUCUGCUGGUGGAGGGCUGCCACAACGCAGCUGAGCUCAUCAAGGAGGUCAAGACGGCCUGCAGCUGGAAUGGAAAAGAUUGCACCCUGGGCGUCCACAUCGACGAGGGCUUCACGUUAUUCACCGAGGAGAUGGGGGUCAGGAAAAGUAUUCUCCUCCAGCAGCCAUUCGAACGCCUCAAGAUGUCCUCAGACGAUGGCGUACGCAUGAUGUUUCUCGACUUCGGUGGUCCGGAGGCAGAGAUUCAACUGGACCUUCACUGUUGCCCCAAGACCAUAGUCUUCAUCAUUCACUCCUUUCUUUCUGCAAAGGUCAAGCGACUCGGUCUCCUGGCAUGAUAGUGGCCAACGCUCCUGGCCAACGCUCCUGAACAUCAGCAGACGACUGUAACACACCAGUGUAUUGGAUCCAGGGAUGGAAGUUCUCUAACCUGCUUUUUUUUUUUAAAAGGCCUCUAAAUUCACCGUGGUCUUUGGUCAGGGGUCUCCUGGUCGUUCCAGUAAGAGGAAGAGGAACCAAGACGGCAGCAGUGACAUCGUUUGUUGAAUGGGGUUGACGUGAAGUCAUUAGAAUAUACUACGCUGAGUGAGUGCCUGAAACUGUACUGUACGUCAUCGACACCGACCUGCUCCAUGCGUCGGACUGUCAAAGGUACAAACUGGCAGUGGAUUCAGACACAGCUGCAAGUCCAGAGAAGUGGUCACAUGGUCGCUGGAAUCAUGAGAAGAUGAGAAAUGAAGUCACACGUUUGAUGUUUGAGACACAGACACUUCCUACAGCUCCCUGAAACGUCUUUAACACAUGAUUGGAGAAAUAGAAUAUUUAGUCUUUUGGUUUUGUUUCCUUUUAUAUAUAUAUAUAUAUAUAAAUAAGCGCAGAGUGAGUCUAAUACAAACACAGUAUUUUAACAGUUGACUUCCUGCUCAUUCAUUGUCUAGUAUUCUUUACCCACAGUUCCGAGGACAAUGGCGUGUCUUUGUGCUCGUUGGCUGCCUGCGGAAGUUUGAACCACGGUGCCUUGCAGGUACUCUGAUUUCAGUUGACCGUUGGUGUGAACGUGAGUGUGAAUGGUGGGUCGUCUCUGCAUGUGGCCAAUGAGGUGGACAGGAGCAGUGUCCAGGGUGUAACUCCGCCCCCUCGUUAACUGCUGGGAAUGGCUCCACCUGUGGCCGUGAAAACUGCUGAGUCACAGCCGUGGUGGAUUCACAACUGACAACGGCUGCAGCUCCCAUAGUUUGGGACAGAGCAAGAGAAAUCCAGCGUUUCCACGGCAACCGCAGAGCGCUCUCAGAUUGGCUGUGGCCGUCUCUUUCCUGUGAACCUCUGAACUGUGAUUUUUUUUUUUUUUUUUUUUUUUUUUGCAGCUGAAAAUUGCCAAUCAUUGUCUGGGGUUGUGUUGUGAGAAGAGACGGUCAAUGAUUGUGUGUGAAUAUGUUUUGAUUAGCAAAAAUGGAAGGGCCAAUUUGGAAUGCUAAGAGAGUGUGUUUGGUGAUGGAAGGGGCCACGGAGAACAUGUGGCAGUCGAAUUAAAUCCAACCUGCAAUCUUGUUCUUUUGUGUUGACGCCAGACGAACAAACAGUACGACAGACACAGAUAAGGAACAAUGACUCCAAACAGUCACCGUGGUGCAUCAAGAGUAGGACAUCAAAUAUUUGUACUUCUGAUCAACCGAAAUCAAAGACAUAAAAAAGGGGGAAACACACAAACAUCCAAAUUAAAAUAAUAGUUUUAUUGCAGAGUUCAAAUGUGUCUUCACUCAGUGAAGAAUUAUAAAAAAAAGAUCCAAUCCAUUCACGCCACAUACCUUAAUAAAGCCACAAAUGUCUGAGGGGUUUUUUGAUUAGAAGAACAAGACAUUUUACAACUUGCUACAAGAACCCAUGUUUUGCUGCAAUUUUGAUCAAAUAACGGCUUUUCAAUAAAGGCCAUAAAAAUCUCGCAGCCCAGCUGCUGCUGCUGCUGCUGCUGCUGCUGCUGCUGCUGCUGCAACAAAAGACAAUAACGUUUCAGUAAACCUGGUUUUCUCUCUCUCUCUUUUUUAGCCCUGAGAACUCUCCAGCUUGUGGUUAAUUGUUUCAUCAGCUCAGUAAAAAAGCUCAUAAGUUACAAACCUUCAGAUUGUACGUCAGUGAAAAGGAUUCAAACCUAUCCACUUGUGGCUAAUUCUUUUUUCUUCGUGAUAGCUGAGCAUACUGUUGUGAGUGGUUUUUGAAAUUAAAAAAAAAAAGUUGCACGAACCAGUUUGAACACAAAUCCAAUUUUCUUGUCAGUUUGCCUCUUUUAGAGAAAGAACCAACAUUUUAUGAAAUUCGGUUUGCCAUUGUGUUCUGUGGAUUUCUAACUGAUGAAAAGGUCAACACGUGAGGUAUUAGACUAAUAGGUGAAUGAACCAAGAUAGCCGACAGGUGGCAGUAGAAUCACGAAGAAGAGGAAAAACAGAAAGUGG
RNA transcript from Cynoglossus semilaevis (tongue sole), 3815 nucleotides. It is a transcript of the gene named syntrophin, alpha 1, with no coding region annotated. The transcript is spliced from 10 exons. NCBI's taxonomy places the organism in Eukaryota, Metazoa, Chordata, Actinopteri, Pleuronectiformes, Cynoglossidae. The record is from RefSeq and is a predicted model, not a curated record.